RNAcentral lists this non-coding RNA (116 nucleotides) under Desulfuribacillus stibiiarsenatis. RNAcentral's name for it is "Molybdenum/Tungsten riboswitch aptamer (Moco RNA motif)". It matches the Rfam family "Molybdenum/Tungsten riboswitch aptamer (Moco RNA motif)". Lineage: Bacteria; Bacillati; Bacillota; Desulfuribacillia; Desulfuribacillales; Desulfuribacillaceae. The record is from Rfam by way of RNAcentral. RNAcentral also lists the same sequence under 1 other name.
AAUAUUGAUUGUCUCCGAGCUUUUUUGCCUAAGGUUUACUACGGUAAGAUUGCCGAUUAGGGUUAUACUGGAAACGGUUUGGCCUCCCACUGGAAAGGAGAUACGGUCUGUACAUG